RNAcentral lists this ribosomal RNA (742 nucleotides) under uncultured bacterium. RNAcentral describes it as "bacterial SSU rRNA". It matches the Rfam family "Bacterial small subunit ribosomal RNA", at positions 8 to 796 of the family's 1533-position model. The record is from RNAcentral.
AGAGUUUGAUCCUGGCUCAGAACGAACGCUGGCGGCAUGCCUAACACAUGCAAGUCGGACGCACUCAGCAAUGGGUGAGUGGCGGACGGGUGAGUAACACGUGGGAACCUGCCCUGGGGUCUGGGAUAACUGCGGGAAACUGCAGGUAACACCGGAUGUGCCCUUAGGGGGAAAGUUUACGCCCUGGGAUGGGCCCGCGUCGGAUUAGGUAGUUGGUGGGGUAAUGGCCUACCAAGCCUUCGAUCCGUAACCGGUCUGAGAGGAUGAUCGGUCACACUGGGACUGAGACACGGCCCAGACUCCUACGGGAGGCAGCAGUGGGGAAUCUUGGACAAUGGAGGCAACCCUGAUCCAGCGACGCCGCGUGGGUGAUGAAGGCCUUCGGGUCGUAAAGCCCUUUUGCCGGGGAAGAUGAUGACGGUACCCGGAGAAGAAGCACCGGCUAACUCUGUGCCAGCAGCCGCGGUAAGACAGAGGGUGCUAGCGUUGUUCGGAAUUACUGGGCGUAAAGGGCGCGUAGGCGGCUCGUUUAGUCGGGUGUGAAAUCCCAAGGCUCAACCUUGGAACUGCAUUCGAUACUGGCGGGCUAGAGACCGGAAGAGGUGGGUGGAAUACCCAGUGUAGAGGUGAAAUUCGUAGAUAUUGGGUGGAACACCGGUGGCGAAGGCGGCUCACUGGUCCGGUUCUGACGCUGAGGCGCGAAAGCGUGGGGAGCAAACAGGAUUAGAUACCCUAGUAGUCC